UAUCAGACUUGUUGCAAGCUUGUUCCAACAAGUCUGAUACAGUCAUGACAACAAUAUUGAUACAACCUUGUGUCGUCAACCUUGUAACAUUCUUGUUAUAUCAUGACUGUAUCAGACUCGUUAUAACGACCUUGUAACAAGUCUGAUA
RNAcentral lists this microRNA precursor (148 nucleotides) under Paramuricea clavata. Lineage: Eukaryota; Metazoa; Cnidaria; Anthozoa; Malacalcyonacea; Plexauridae. The record is from RNAcentral.